GCUCACUUAGGCCAUGCAUAUACUGAAAUUAGAAUGAUACAGAGAAGAUUAGCAUGGCCCCUGUGCAAGGAUGGUAUGCAAAUUUGUGAAGCGUUCCAUAUGUUU
This is a small nuclear RNA of Ochotona curzoniae (black-lipped pika), 105 nucleotides long. NCBI's taxonomy places the organism in Eukaryota, Metazoa, Chordata, Mammalia, Lagomorpha, Ochotonidae. The record is from RefSeq and is a predicted model, not a curated record.